CUUGAAACACGGACCAAGGAGUCUAACAUGUGCGCGAGUCAUUGGGAGCUGUUAAGCCUAAAGGCGGAAUGAAAGUGAAGAUCGGCCUUGCCGCCGAUCGAGGGAGGAUGGGCCGCGUCACGAUGCGGUCCCGCACUCCCGGGGCGUCUCGUUCUCAUUGCGAGAGGAGGCGCACCCAGAGCGUACACGUUGGGACCCGAAAGAUGGUGAACUAUGCCUGGUCAGGACGAAGUCAGGGGAAACCCUGAUGGAGGUCCGUAGCGAUUCUGACGUGCAAAUCGAUCGUCGGAACUGGGUAUAGGGGCGAAAGACUAAUCGAACCAUCUAGUAGCUGGUUCCCUCCGAAGUUUCCCUCAGGAUAGCUGGCACUCGUUUUAUGCGAGUCUCAUCUGGUAAAGCGAAUGAUUAGAGGCCUUGGGGCCGAAACGACCUCAACCUAUUCUCAAACUUUAAAUGGGUGAGAUCACUGGCUUGCUUGAAUAAUGAAGCCAAGUGAUAUAUCGGAUCAGAGUGCCAAGUGGGCCAAUUUUGGUAAGCAGAACUGGC
Molecule: ribosomal RNA, 546 nt
Filed under: Limonethe maurator
Lineage: Eukaryota; Metazoa; Arthropoda; Insecta; Hymenoptera; Ichneumonidae
Description: eukaryotic LSU rRNA
Rfam family: Eukaryotic large subunit ribosomal RNA
Source: RNAcentral